GUCUCGUAGGUGACCUGCGGAGGGAUCAUUACAAGUGACCCCGGUCUAACCACCGGGAUGUUCAUAACCCUUUGUUGUCCGACUCUGUUGCCUCCGGGGCGACCCUGCCUUCGGGCGGGGGCUCCGGGUGGACACUUCAAACUCUUGCGUAACUUUGCAGUCUGAGUAAACUUAAUUAAUAAAUUAAAACUUUUAACAACGGAUCUCUUGGUUCUGGCAUCGAUGAAGAACGCAGCGAAAUGCGAUAAGUAAUGUGAAUUGCAGAAUUCAGUGAAUCAUCGAAUCUUUGAACGCACAUUGCGCCCCCUGGUAUUCCGGGGGGCAUGCCUGUUCGAGCGUCAUUUCACCACUCAAGCCUCGCUUGGUAUUGGGCAACGCGGUCCGCCGCGUGCCUCAAAUCGACCGGCUGGGUCUUCUGUCCCCUAAGCGUUGUGGAAACUAUUCGCUAAAGGGUGUUCGGGAGGCUACGCCGUAAAACAACCCCAUUUCUAAGGUUGACCUCGGAUCAGGUAGGGAUACCCGCUGAACUUAAGCAUAUCAAUAGGCGGAGGAA
RNAcentral lists this unclassified non-coding RNA (553 nucleotides) under Cladosporium cladosporioides. Its description in RNAcentral is "sequence contains ITS1, 5.8S rRNA gene, ITS2". The stretch from base 188 to 341 matches the Rfam family "5.8S ribosomal RNA". Lineage: Eukaryota; Fungi; Ascomycota; Dothideomycetes; Cladosporiales; Cladosporiaceae. The record is from RNAcentral.